GACGAACGCUGGCGGCGUGCUUAACACAUGCAAGUCGAACGGAAAGGCCCUGCUUUUGUGGGGUGCUCGAGUGGCGAACGGGUGAGUAACACGUGAGUAACCUGCCCUUGACUUUGGGAUAACUUCAGGAAACUGGGGCUAAUACCGGAUAGGAGCUCCUGCUGCAUGGUGGGGGUUGGAAAGUUUCGGCGGUUGGGGAUGGACUCGCGGCUUAUCAGCUUGUUGGUGGGGUAGUGGCUUACCAAGGCUUUGACGGGUAACCGGCCUGAGAGGGGGACCGGCCACAUUGGGACUGAGAUACGGCCCAGACUCCUACGGGAGGCAGGAGUGGGGAAUAUUGCACAAUGGGCGGAAGCCUGAUGCAGCAACGCCGCGUGCGGGAUGACGGCCUUCGGGUUGUAAACCGCUUUCGCCUGUGACGAAGCGUGAGUGACGGUAAUGGGUAAAGAAGCACCGGCUAACUACGUG
This 468-nucleotide ribosomal RNA is filed under the name uncultured bacterium. Its description in RNAcentral is "partial 16S ribosomal RNA". It matches the Rfam family "Bacterial small subunit ribosomal RNA", at positions 28 to 507 of the family's 1533-position model. The record is from RNAcentral.